This 253-nucleotide ribosomal RNA is filed under the name uncultured bacterium. Its description in RNAcentral is "partial 16S ribosomal RNA". It matches the Rfam family "Bacterial small subunit ribosomal RNA", at positions 524 to 776 of the family's 1533-position model. The record is from RNAcentral.
UACGAAGGGGGCUAGCGUUGCUCGGAAUUACUGGGCGUAAAGGGCGCGUAGGCGGAUGUUUAAGUCAGCGGUGAAAGCCCAGGGCUCAACCUUGGAACUGCCAUUGAUACUGGACAUCUUGAGUACGGGAGAGGUGAGUGGAACACCGAGUGUAGAGGUGAAAUUCGUAGAUAUUCGGUAGAACACCAGUGGCGAAGGCGACUCACUGGCCCGUUACUGACGCUGAGGCGCGAAAGCUAGGGGAGCAAACGGG